This 808-nucleotide ribosomal RNA is filed under the name uncultured Bacteroidota bacterium. RNAcentral describes it as "bacterial SSU rRNA". It matches the Rfam family "Bacterial small subunit ribosomal RNA", at positions 60 to 866 of the family's 1533-position model. The record is from RNAcentral. Lineage: Bacteria; Pseudomonadati; Bacteroidota.
AGUCGAGCGGUAACAGGUGUAGCAAUACAUGCUGACGAGCGGCAGACGGGUGAGGAACACGUACGCAACUUUCCUCAAACCGGGGCACAACCUUGAGAAAUCAGGGCUAAUUCCCCAUAACAUUGCGAGAGGGCAUCCGAUUGCAAUUAAAGAUUCGUCGGUUUGAGAUGGGCGUGCGUUCGAUUAGCUAGUUGGUAAGGUAACGGCCUACCAAGGCAACGAUCGAUAGCUGGUGUGAGAGCACGACCAGCCACACGGGCACUGAGAUACGGGCCCGACUCCUACGGGAGGCAGCAGUAAGGAAUAUUGGUCAAUGGACGAAAGUCUGAACCAGCCAUGCCGCGUGAGGGAUGAAGGUCCCCUGGAUUGUAAACCUCUUUUAUCUAUGAAGAAAUGUCCUGUUUCUACGGGAUUUGACGGUAAUAGAUGAAUAAGCACCGGCUAACUCCGUGCCAGCAGCCGCGGUAAUACGGAGGGUGCAAGCGUUAUCCGGAUUUACUGGGUUUAAAGGGUGCGUAGAUGGGUUGGUAAGUCAGUGGUGAAAUACUUUCGCUUAACGAAGGAACUGCCAUUGAUACUACCAGUCUUGAAUACAGUGGAGGUAGGCGGAAUGCGUCAUGUAGCGGUGAAAUGCUUAGAUAUGACGCAGAACACCAAUUGCGAAGGCAGCUUGCUACACUGUUAUUGACACUGAGGCACGAAAGCGUGGGGAUCAAACAGGAUUAGAUACCCUGGUAGUCCACGCCCUAAACGAUGAUUACUCGAUCUCAGCGAUACACUGUUGGGGUCUAUGAGAAAGCAUUAAGUA